RNAcentral lists this long non-coding RNA (1986 nucleotides) under Nicotiana tabacum (common tobacco). RNAcentral's name for it is "long non-coding RNA (NTAB_LNC018044)". The record is from RNAcentral. Lineage: Eukaryota; Viridiplantae; Streptophyta; Magnoliopsida; Solanales; Solanaceae.
UUUUCCUUUUAAAGUAUUCUCUUCUCUUUAAUUAAUUUUGCAAACACUCUUUUAAAAUUUGUUUAGAAUAAAAGUGAAACAAGAAGCCGUCUCUUCCCCUCCCAGGUGUUUCAUGGUUGCCUGUAAAGUAAAAACGCCAUGGAUAUUCUUCCUCUCCCCGGCCUUUGGCAGGAGAGAAACCACUCUCUUUUGCUUACUUGUUCAAGAACCUUGAAAAUUAAAUACAAGACACAAAAGAGUUGCUCAGUUUGAGUCAAGAUGACAAUAAAUCUGUUCACUCUCAACGAAUUUGGUUGCAAUCCAAAGAUGUGAAUAUAUGAAAAGUUUGGCCCAAAAUUGAAUACGAUCUUCUGAUAACUGCCUUUGGGCCCAAUUAAUACAUCUUGCCAGGAAGUACCAAGCCAAGUAAAAAUUACACGGGCGCCCUAUUUGGUCGCCCCCAUUUAACCUAUACCCAUUUUUUUAAAACUUUUAACUUGUACCCAUUUCUUAAAUAACUUCAGCCCUUUUUCUCCUCCUUCUUCUCCUCCUUCGUUUUUUUCUUCUUCUGAAAGAAAUAGCUGAAAUAUGCAAACAAGCAAUUGACUGAGUUGUCAAGCAAGAGGACGACCAUCCCGUAUGUCAUAUUUGAUUUUCCUUUGCCUUUUUAAAUAUUAAUUCUUCUACUGUGUUCCUAUAAAUCUGUGUCUUCACUUGAUAGAGAAGAGUAUAAAAACAAGAAGAAGUCAAGCUUUAAAUAAUUAAAAAAAAAAGAUUGAUUAGCUGUUUCAUUCCGCAGACAAGGCUCUUCUGGACUUAUAUGGGGCGACAAAUUCUUAUCAGGUGAAUUGAAUCAGCAUAUUAACCAUAAAUACGAAAUUACUAAAUGUAACAAAGCUUCUCAUUCCAUGGGAGAAGGAGGACAACCCAAAGAGGAGAAUAUGCUGGUGAAGGCUUCAUCAAUUGGAUCAAUGGAGAGGAGCAAAUCCAACGGCUUCAUAUAAGAGUUAAUUUUAUCCAAGCUUCAGCUCUAGAGCUGAAGUUUCCCAGUUACAACACAAAAACUUCAGCUCUAGAGCUGAAGUUUCCCACUUACAACACAAAAACUUCAGCUCUAGAGCUGAAGUUCGCCAGUUACAAAACAAAAACUUCAGCUCUAGAGCUGAACUUCAGGCCCGGCUACUAGAAUGCUGAAGUUUGCGUGAUUGCCUUUGCUACUUCAGCUCCGUGUGCUGAAGUUAUGCGAAAAAGCGGGUGCGCUUGUAAUUUUUUCUGUAAAAUGGGCACAAGUUAAAAUAUGACACAAAAAGCGGGUAUAUGCAAAUGCCCCCAAGCCAAUUGGUACAAAAUGCAAAUUUGGAGAAUAAUACAACUCCUAAUGCUACUAGGAACUUAGCAGGAGAAAACACGAGGAGCAUUUCUACUCCUUAUAGGAAUUCAACUUUGACGAACUAAGCUUAAGGAGUCGUGCUCAGUCUGUUGCUAAUGGAAUUGAAUUGACUAGAAGAGGUCUGCAGAAUUACGUAGGAUUUUUAUUGUUAAAGCAUAUCUCAAAAAAGAUAUUCUUAAUGUUAUUAGUUAGAAGAGUAGAAUAUUAGUCUAGAUUAAAAGGAUUGUUACAAGAAAAUUCAAACUAAGUGAGGUAUUCGUGGUAUUUAUUGUAAACCACAAAAGAAGUCGGUAUUACGAAUUGAAAGGAGGGGUAUCUAAAAUUAUCCGUUAAAAAUAGCUGGUUAGUUGAUUACAUGCAAUCAUUCGAUACAACUUAAAGGUAGUUACAAGAAACAAGCAACAUCUCAGGGUUGCCUCCACACAAUGAGUGUAAACCAAAACAAACAAAAAGGGAAAAAAGAUUAAGAAAAAAAAAGUGCGGAUGCUCAGAAAUUUGUUUCGUCUCCCAGAAAGCAGAUUGCAAGAGAAUUGACAAGUAAACACAAGAGGAAUCCAAUUCUCACAACGUUAUCAUCUUCCAGAUGCUGUUACUAGCGUCAAAGGCAGUCAGCUUCG